This 507-nucleotide ribosomal RNA is filed under the name uncultured bacterium. RNAcentral's name for it is "partial 16S ribosomal RNA". It matches the Rfam family "Bacterial small subunit ribosomal RNA", at positions 28 to 507 of the family's 1533-position model. The record is from RNAcentral.
GACGAACGCUGGCGGCGUGCCUAAUACAUGCAAGUCGAACGCAUUUUCUUUCAACUUGGCUUGCUACACCUACCGAAAGUGAGUGGCGUACGGGUGAGUAACACGUCGUUAAACUGCGCGUCAGCGUGGGAUAACACGUGGUAACAGCUGCUAAUACCGCGUAAUUCCAUUUACCGCAUGGUAGAUCGGUGAUAGGCGCUCUUGUGUCACGGAUGGCUGCGCCCGCGGUGCAUUAGCUAGUUGGUGGGGUAACGGGCUACCAAGGCUGCGAUGCAUAGGCGACCUGAGAGGGUGAUCGGCCACACUGAGACUGAGACACGGCCCAGACUCCUACGGGAGGCAGCAGUAGGGAAUCUUCGGCAAUGGACCGAAGUCUGACCGAGCAACGCCGCGUGAGUGAAGAAGGUUUUCGGAUUGUAAAACUCUGUUGUUAGGGAAGAAAAAGGAUGAGAGUGGAAAGUUCAUCCCUUGACGGUAUCUAACCAGAAAGCCACGGCUAACUACGUG